RNAcentral lists this unclassified non-coding RNA (17 nucleotides) under Mus musculus (house mouse). Its description in RNAcentral is "oocyte_clustered_small_RNA13385". The record is from RNAcentral. Lineage: Eukaryota; Metazoa; Chordata; Mammalia; Rodentia; Muridae.
UUCCACUCCUUGACCCC